Molecule: long non-coding RNA, 2761 nt
Organism: Haemorhous mexicanus (house finch)
Lineage: Eukaryota; Metazoa; Chordata; Aves; Passeriformes; Fringillidae
Exons: 3
Source: RefSeq, a predicted model, not a curated record
ACAGGCUCUGCUCUACCUGACAGGAGGGGGGUUGAUUCUCCCUUGUACUUCCAGCAGUUUGUGGGUUUAGGAUCCAUAUGCUGUGUUCUCUUGCCUUUUAUUUGUUCACUGCAAUUGCUGGGGCUGUGCAGUGUCUGCAGGAGAGGAAGGGCACUUCCCACCAAUUUCCUCCCUGAAUCUUUCAGGUCUUUCCAGCACAAGUUUUGCUUUCUCCCUGGUUUUCUGCUCCACAAGUUCUGAUAUCUGAUGCCAAAUACAAAAUUGAGUAAUGGUCACUCACUUCAUACAAAGGGGUUUGAUUGAACUUCCAGCUGCAACUCCAUCUCCACUCGUGUAUUGUGAUUGCAACUUCAUGUUUUACUUGCAUUUUGCAGUCAUUCAGGGGCCAAGUUUUCAAGUCUUCCAGACUUUGACUUGUUUUGAUUUCACUGCAAAAUCCUGCAAGAAUUCUGCCAACAGCAAGGCCAAUGUGUCUGAGAACAGAUGGCAUUUCCAGUACCUAAAGCCUGGUCAGGUUGAUUGCUUUGAGUCUGUAAGGUCAUCAUGGUUGAAGACAUGAAGAUGAGGACAUCAAAGCCUUUGCCCACUUCUGACAAUUACUCUGGAGACAAACACAGCUCAGAAGACAAAUGUUAUGAGCUACCUGUAAGUUCUGGUUCACAAAACAGAUGAGAAUCCAGAGAUACUCCUGAACCUGGAAAUGAAAUUUAUUCUCAAGGUGGAGCCUCAUCUCGAGCAGCCUUGGGAGGGCCAAAGGUGCUUCCUUUUCCAGUUCCCUGCCUGGAUUUUAGGAGAUACCAUUUUUUAGCAUCUCAACAAGGAAAUCACAGCAAUUUCCAUGGGAAGAAUCACAGAGAUGACAGGGCUUCCCCCCAAAACACUGCCUGUGUAAUUGCUGAAGACAUUCCAAGCCACUCUAACGAAGUGCUGUCUGCCAGUCAUUAUGUUCUCCUUGGAGGACCAUCUGUUGCACUUCAAAUAUGUAAAGGUCUCUAUCAUUUAUUGCUCCAAACAAACCCAGGCCUUUGUCUGAUGUGCUGGAGCUCCUGAAUGGAUUCUAAAGGUGGUUUCAGUCACACAGGGCAGGGCAUUCCCUUUGGUUCUACUCCUUCACCUCAAAUUUCAGAGCACAAAUAUACUGAUUAAACCAAUAUCUGAAUAUUUUCAAUUUCUUUAGAAAUGAACUAUGAACAAUAACAGCUGAAAAUAUCUGAAAUAUGUUUUCAUUCAGCCAGGAGGACAUUGGAAGAUUUUUGCAUCUGCUGAACAAAUCUUUCCAUUGUAGUGGUAUCCAGAUUUGAUAAAUGCUGAGAUUUGAAUGAAAAUUACCUUAUUUUAACUAAAUUAAUUAGCUCAUUUGUAUCUGAAAACAGUGAUUCAAAGGAAUGAUAAAAAAUAGAGUCAGCAGCUUAAAAUGCUGCUCAAGCCUUCUUUAGCACAUGUCCUUUACAAGGAUGUAGUUUUGGUGGUACAGUCAUAAUUUAUAGGUUAAUUAGGAUCCUUUCCAUGAGUAAAAUGAGCAAGAUCAGGCAUUAAAAGAUCCUGGUUUUUGUUGUUCCUGCUGCAGCUUUUAAAGAGGCUGUACAAUCAGGUUGGAGAACGUGAGCAUUGUAUUUUCACAGCAGAAAAGUUCUGUUCAGAGAUUUCCAGCCAGAGAAAUCCAUAACAAUUUCUGUCUGAUUAGGGAGUGGUCCUAUCUUUAUCCCUUUCUCCUCUUUCCCUUCUCCUUCCUGCACAGCAGCUAAUGUUCUGGUCAGAAGUAAUAAUAUGUUAGAUCUUGAAUGUCAGUAGCCCCAGAGAUUCUGACAAGACUAUUCAUGUGCAUUCAUAUGUCUUAACCAAAGCUGACACUAAAGAGAGCAAGAAUCCUCAUAUUCCUCUUUUUAUUGCUGUGCAUUAAACUCAAAUCUUCUCUUGGAGACCUCUGCUAGAAAUGACAAAUCCACCAUUUGAAAAAGACAUUUUAGCAAGGUCUAAACAAAGCAGCUGGACAUCAAUCUGGCACAGGGCAGAGGCUCCUGUGAAAGCUCAGAGUGCAAAGCUGAGCUCUGGUUUACACCUUCCAAAUGCUGUGAGAUAAAUACUAAUGGGAAAUAACCAUUCCUCCUAAUGUUUCUAAAUUUCAAUUAAAAACUGAUUUUAAUUUUUUUUUUUCUUUAACUAUAGGAUAUGUCCUUAUAGGGAUAUUUGGAUUCUGGUAACACGAGGUUGUUUUCUGAGAAACACACACUGAGUGAAGAUUCUGCUCUACCUUUUACUCUGGACAUAUUUUACACACACUUGUAGCAUGGUGUACUGCACAUGUUUGGGUAAUUUUGCAGGGAUCUGAUUAAGUUGUUAAAGCCAGGUAGGCAAUUUUGCCAGCAGUGAUAUUUUUAAUCUUCUUUUUUAAAAUGGUUUGGUAGUAGUGACUAAGGCAGACUAGGUGGCUCUGGGCAGCUCGCCAUUUUGAGGUAGUUUAAUUUGUUAAAAAUUAUCUUUCUUCCCACCCAAAUCCCCUUGAAACCAUUUGGAGAAGAGAACUGUUGAACAGUUGCCAGUAAUAAGUCCUGCUGAGACCUCUGUAUCCUCCUGACAGAAAUGUUGGUGCCAACUGGAGACUGACUGGCACGAGUUUGAACUCUACACUACUUGAUAUAUUUGCUUCACAUGCACCAAUUACAAUAAUUACCACCUCUGUAGCUGAAGUUUAAGCACUCACUCUGCACUCCAUACCUCAGGUUGUUGGCAGUAUGUUCAAUCCUAUAAUCUCAAUUUUCUU